Non-coding RNA from Pelobates cultripes (western spadefoot toad), 319 nucleotides. The record is from the annotation of a GenBank genome assembly. Lineage: Eukaryota; Metazoa; Chordata; Amphibia; Anura; Pelobatidae.
UUCCAUUGAAAUUCCAAUGCAAUCCAGAGAUACCAUAAGACAAAUUAAAGACUACUUUGUUUUAUGGUAGAGCCUGAGGUUGACAAAAGGCAGAGUGCCGAUGUCAGGCUUUGUCUAAGGAGCAACAUGUGCUCUCGCAGUAUCCUAAAUAGACUUUAGUGUUGCACUCUUGCAUAUGUGCCAGAGUACAGGACUGACGCGUCUCCUGGAAACUGAAGCUCCAGGAACAGAGGAGGACCUGCAUCGUGAAGAUGGCAGUGGCCACGAUGGGCAGCCGGAGGUAAGAAAAACUCACUUCCCUGAAACCUGUGUUCACCGG